This 75-nucleotide transfer RNA is filed under the name Puniceicoccales bacterium. Its description in RNAcentral is "tRNA-Asn". It matches the Rfam family "tRNA". Rfam says of the family: Transfer RNA (tRNA) molecules are approximately 80 nucleotides in length. Their secondary structure includes four short double-helical elements and three loops (D, anti-codon, and T loops). Further hydrogen bonds mediate the characteristic L-shaped molecular structure. tRNAs have two regions of fundamental functional importance: the anti-codon, which is responsible for specific mRNA codon recognition, and the 3' end, to which the tRNAs corresponding amino acid is attached (by aminoacyl-tRNA synthetases). tRNAs cope with the degeneracy of the genetic code in two manners: having more than one tRNA (with a specific anti-codon) for a particular amino acid; and 'wobble' base-pairing, i.e. permitting non-standard base-pairing at the 3rd anti-codon position. Lineage: Bacteria; Pseudomonadati; Verrucomicrobiota; Opitutia; Puniceicoccales. The record is from RNAcentral.
UGCCCGGUAGCUCAGUGGUAGAGCAGGUGACUGUUAAUCACUUGGUCGCAGGUUCGAGCCCUGCCCGGGCAGCCA